UACGGGAGGCAGCAGGGGGGAAUAUUGCACAAUGGGCGCAAGCCUGAUGCAGCCAUGCCGCGUGUAUGAAAAAGGCCUUCGGGUUGUAAAGUACUUUCAGUCGUGAGGAAGGUGUUAAGGUUAAUAACCUUAGCAAUUGACGUUAGCGACAGAAGAAGCACCGGCUAACUCCGUGCCAGCAGCCGCGGUAAUACGGAGGGUGCGAGCGUUAAUCGGAAUUACUGGGCGUAAAGGGCACGCAGGCGGUUAAUUAAGUUGGAUGUGAAAUCCCCGGGCUUAACCUGGGAAUGGCAUUCAAGACUGGUUAGCUAGAGUCUUGUAGAGGGGGUAGAAUUCCAUGUGUAGCGGUGAAAUGCGUAGAGAUGUGGAGGAAUACCGGUGGCGAAGGCGGCCCCUGGACAAAGACUGACGCUCAUGUGCGAAAGCGUGGGGAGCAAGGCAGGGAUUAGAUACC
Molecule: ribosomal RNA, 454 nt
Filed under: uncultured bacterium
Lineage: Bacteria
Description: bacterial SSU rRNA
Rfam family: Bacterial small subunit ribosomal RNA
Source: RNAcentral